This 379-nucleotide ribosomal RNA is filed under the name uncultured bacterium. RNAcentral's name for it is "partial 16S ribosomal RNA". It matches the Rfam family "Bacterial small subunit ribosomal RNA", at positions 338 to 732 of the family's 1533-position model. The record is from RNAcentral.
CCUACGGGAGGCUGCAGUGAGGAAUAUUGGGCAAUGGGCGCAAGCCUGACCCAGCAACGCCGCGUGAAGGAAGAAGGCUUUCGGGUUGUAAACUUCUUUUUAGCGGGAAGAGCAGAAGACGGUACCUCUUGAAUAGGCCACGGCGAACUACGUGCCAGCAGCCGCGGUAAUACGUAGGUGGCGAGCGUUGUCCGAAUUUACUGGGUGUAAAGGGCGUGCAGCCGGGAAGACAAGUCAGAUGUGAAAUCCCGGGGCUCAACCGCGGAACGGCGGUUGAAACUGGUGUCCUUGAGUGCCGGAGAGGUAAGCGGAAUUCCUGGUGUAGCGGUGAAAUGCGUAGAUAGAAGGAAGAACACCAGUGGCGAAGGCGGACGACUGG